CGACCUGAGCUCAGGCAAGAUUACCCGCUGAACUUAAGCAUAUCAAUAAGCGGAGGAAAAGAAA
Molecule: ribosomal RNA, 64 nt
Filed under: Chromochloris zofingiensis
Lineage: Eukaryota; Viridiplantae; Chlorophyta; Chlorophyceae; Sphaeropleales; Chromochloridaceae
Description: partial 28S ribosomal RNA
Rfam family: Eukaryotic large subunit ribosomal RNA
Source: RNAcentral